UCUCAAUUCGCUUCUUCCCCUUCGCUUC
Molecule: small RNA, 28 nt
Filed under: Bombyx mori (domestic silkworm)
Lineage: Eukaryota; Metazoa; Arthropoda; Insecta; Lepidoptera; Bombycidae
Description: ovarian small RNA-29566
Source: RNAcentral